GCANCNCNGUAUACNGAGGUGCNAGCGUNAUCGGANUACUGGGCGUAAAGCGCACGCAGGCGGUCUGUCAAGUCGGAUGUGAAAUCCCCGGGCUCAACCUGGGAACUGCAUUCGAAACUGGCAGGCUGGAGUCUNGUAGAGGGGGGUAGAAUUCCAGGUGUAGCGGUGAAAUGCGUAGAGAUCUGGAGGAAUACCGGUGGCGAAGGCGGCCCCCUGGACAAAGACUGACGCUCAGGUGCGAAAGCGUGGGGAGCAAACAGGAUUAGAUACCNUGGUAGUCCACGCUGUAAACGAUGUCGACUUGGAGGUUGUUCCCUUGAGGAGUGGCUUCCGGAGCUAACGCGUUAAGUCGACCGCCUGGGGAGUACGGCCGCAAGGUUAAAACUCAAAUGAAUUGACGGGGGCCCGCACAAGCGGUGGAGCAUGUGGUUUAAUUCGAUGCAACGCGAAGAACCUUACCUACUCUUGACAUCCACAGAACUUAGCAGAGAUGCUUUGGUGCCUUCGGGAACUCUGAGACAGGUGCUGCAUGGCUGUCGUCAGCUCGUGUUGUGAAAUGUUGGGUUAAGUCCCGCAACGAGCGCAACCCUUAUCCUUUGUUGCCAGCGAUUCGGUCGGGAACUCAAAGGAGACUGCCAGUGAUAAACUGGAGGAAGGUGGGGAUGACGUCAAGUCAUCAUGGCCCUUACGAGUAGGGCUACACACGUGCUACAAUGGCAUAUACAAAGAGAAGCGACCUCGCGAGAGCAAGCGGACCUCAUAAAGUAUGUCGUAGUCCGGAUUGGAGUCUGCAACUCGACUCCAUG
RNAcentral lists this ribosomal RNA (806 nucleotides) under Klebsiella sp. WA-Ctrl. RNAcentral describes it as "bacterial SSU rRNA". It matches the Rfam family "Bacterial small subunit ribosomal RNA", at positions 511 to 1322 of the family's 1533-position model. The record is from RNAcentral. Lineage: Bacteria; Pseudomonadati; Pseudomonadota; Gammaproteobacteria; Enterobacterales; Enterobacteriaceae.